GACGAACCGUGCGAACGUUAUUCGGAAUCACUGGGCUUAAAGGGCGCGUAGGCGGGCCGCCGCGUCCGGGGUGAAAUCCCCCCGCUCAACGGGGGGACGGCCUCGGAUACGGGCGGCCUGGAGGCGGGUAGGGGCACGCGGAACUGUGGGUGGAGCGGUGAAAUGCGUUGAGAUCCACAGGAACUCCGGUGGCGAAGGCGGCGUGCUGGACCCGUCCUGACGCUGAGGCGCGAAAGCCAGGGGAGCGAACGGG
RNAcentral lists this ribosomal RNA (253 nucleotides) under uncultured bacterium. RNAcentral's name for it is "partial 16S ribosomal RNA". It matches the Rfam family "Bacterial small subunit ribosomal RNA", at positions 524 to 776 of the family's 1533-position model. The record is from RNAcentral.